GGUUAAGUUAGAAAGGGCGCACGGUGGAUGCCUUGACACUAGGAGUCGAUGAAGGACGGGACUAACGCCGAUAUGCUUCGGGGAGCUGUAAGUAAGCUUUGAUCCGAAGAUUUCCGAAUGGGGAAACCCACUAUACGUAAUGGUAUGGUAUCCUUAUCUGAAUACAUAGGGUAAGGAAGACAGACCCAGGGAACUGAAACAUCUAAGUACCUGGAGGAAGAGAAAGCAAAUGCGAUUUCCUGAGUAGCGGCGAGCGAAACGGAACAUAGCCCAAACCAAGAGGCUUGCCUCUUGGGGUUGUAGGACAUUCUAUACGGAGUUACAAAGGAACGAGGUAGACGAAGCGACCUGGAAAGGUCCGUCGUAGAGGGUAACAACCCCGUAGUCGAAACUUCGUUCUCUCUUGAAUGUAUCCUGAGUACGGCGGAACACGUGAAACUCCGUCGGAAUCUGGGAGGACCAUCUCCCAAGGCUAAAUACUCCCUAGUGAUCGAUAGUGAACCAGUACCGUGAGGGAAAGGUGAAAAGCACCCCGGAAGGGGAGUGAAAGAGAUCCUGAAACCGUGUGCCUACAAAUAGUCAGAGCCCGUUAACGGGUGAUGGCGUGCCUUUUGUAGAAUGAACCGGCGAGUUACGAUCCCGUGCGAGGUUAAGCUGAAGAGGCGGAGCCGCAGCGAAAGCGAGUCUGAAUAGGGCGUUUAGUACGUGGUCGUAGACCCGAAACCAGGUGAUCUACCCAUGUCCAGGGUGAAGUUCAGGUAACACUGAAUGGAGGCCCGAACCCACGCACGUUGAAAAGUGCGGGGAUGAGGUGUGGGUAGCGGAGAAAUUCCAAUCGAACCUGGAGAUAGCUGGUUCUCCCCGAAAUAGCUUUAGGGCUAGCCUUAAGUGUAAGAGUCUUGGAGGUAGAGCACUGAUUGGACUAGGGGUCCUCAUCGGAUUACCGAAUUCAGUCAAACUCCGAAUGCCAAUGACUUAUCCUUAGGAGUCAGACUGCGAGUGAUAAGAUCCGUAGUCAAAAGGGAAACAGCCCAGACCGCCAGCUAAGGUCCCAAAGUGUGUAUUAAGUGGAAAAGGAUGUGGAGUUGCUUAGACAACUAGGAUGUUGGCUUAGAAGCAGCCACCAUUUAAAGAGUGCGUAAUAGCUCACUAGUCGAGUGACUCUGCGCCGAAAAUGUACCGGGGCUAAAUACACCACCGAAGCUGCGGAUUGAUACCGAAUGGUAUCAGUGGUAGGGGAGCGUUCUAAGGACAGUGAAGUCAGACCGGAAGGACUGGUGGAGUGCUUAGAAGUGAGAAUGCCGGUAUGAGUAGCGAAAGACGGGUGAGAAUCCCGUCCACCGAAUGCCUAAGGUUUCCUGAGGAAGGCUCGUCCGCUCAGGGUUAGUCAGGACCUAAGCCGAGGCCGACAGGCGUAGGCGAUGGACAACAGGUUGAUAUUCCUGUACCACCUCUUUAUCGUUUGAGCAAUGGAGGGACGCAGAAGGAUAGAAGAAGCGUGCGAUUGGUUGUGCACGUCCAAGCAGUUAGGCUGAUAAGUAGGCAAAUCCGCUUAUCGUGAAGGCUGAGCUGUGAUGGGUAAGCUCCUUAUGGAGCGAAGUCUUUGAUUCCCCGCUGCCAAGAAAAGCUUCUAGCGAGAUAAAAGGUGCCUGUACCGCAAACCGACACAGGUAGGCGAGGAGAGAAUCCUAAGGUGUGCGAGAGAACUCUGGUUAAGGAACUCGGCAAAAUGACCCCGUAACUUCGGGAGAAGGGGUGCUUUCUUAACGGAAAGCCGCAGUGAAUAGGCCCAAGCGACUGUUUAACAAAAACACAGCUCUCUGCGAAGCCGUAAGGCGAAGUAUAGGGGGUGACACCUGCCCGGUGCUGGAAGGUUAAGGAGAGGGGUUAGCGUAAGCGAAGCUCUGAACUGAAGCCCCAGUAAACGGCGGCCGUAACUAUAACGGUCCUAAGGUAGCGAAAUUCCUUGUCGGGUAAGUUCCGACCCGCACGAAAGGUGUAACGAUUUGGGCACUGUCUCAACCAGAGACUCGGUGAAAUUAUAGUACCUGUGAAGAUGCAGGUUACCCGCGACAGGACGGAAAGACCCCGUGGAGCUUUACUGUAGCCUGAUAUUGAAUUUUGGUACAGUUUGUACAGGAUAGGCGGGAGCCUUUGAAACCGGAGCGCUAGCUUCGGUGGAGGCGCUGGUGGGAUACCGCCCUGACUGUAUUGAAAUUCUAACCUACGGGUCUUAUCGACCCGGGAGACAGUGUCAGGUGGGCAGUUUGACUGGGGCGGUCGCCUCCUAAAGUGUAACGGAGGCGCCCAAAGGUUCCCUCAGAAUGGUUGGAAAUCAUUCGUAGAGUGCAAAGGCAUAAGGGAGCUUGACUGCGAGACCUACAAGUCGAGCAGGGACGAAAGUCGGGCUUAGUGAUCCGGUGGUUCCGCAUGGAAGGGCCAUCGCUCAACGGAUAAAAGCUACCCCGGGGAUAACAGGCUUAUCUCCCCCAAGAGUCCACAUCGACGGGGAGGUUUGGCACCUCGAUGUCGGCUCAUCGCAUCCUGGGGCUGUAGUCGGUCCCAAGGGUUGGGCUGUUCGCCCAUUAAAGCGGUACGCGAGCUGGGUUCAGAACGUCGUGAGACAGUUCGGUCCCUAUCCGUCGUGGGCGUAGGAAAUUUGAGAGGAGCUGUCCUUAGUACGAGAGGACCGGGAUGGACGCACCGCUGGUGUACCAGUUGUUCUGCCAAGGGCAUAGCUGGGUAGCUAUGUGCGGAAGGGAUAAGUGCUGAAAGCAUCUAAGCAUGAAGCCCCCCUCAAGAUGAGAUUUCCCAUAGCGUAAGCUAGUAAGAUCCCUGAAAGAUGAUCAGGUUGAUAGGUUCGAGGUGGAAGCAUGGUGACAUGUGGAGCUGACGAAUACUAAUAGAUCGAGGACUUAACCAU
Molecule: ribosomal RNA, 2923 nt
Filed under: Bacillus paranthracis
Lineage: Bacteria; Bacillati; Bacillota; Bacilli; Caryophanales; Bacillaceae
Description: 23S ribosomal RNA
Rfam family: Bacterial large subunit ribosomal RNA
Source: RNAcentral